Massospora cicadina is the source of this 71-nucleotide non-coding RNA. NCBI's taxonomy places the organism in Eukaryota, Fungi, Entomophthoromycota, Entomophthoromycetes, Entomophthorales, Entomophthoraceae. The record is from the annotation of a GenBank genome assembly.
GGUAUGAUGGUGUAAUGGAUGCACAUUAGGCUCAUGUCCUAUUAGAAGUUGUUCAAAUCAACUUCAUGCCA